This is an RNA transcript of Piliocolobus tephrosceles (Ugandan red Colobus), 1944 nucleotides long. It is a transcript of the gene named chloride nucleotide-sensitive channel 1A, with no coding region annotated. The transcript is spliced from 8 exons. The record is from RefSeq and is a predicted model, not a curated record. NCBI's taxonomy places the organism in Eukaryota, Metazoa, Chordata, Mammalia, Primates, Cercopithecidae.
GGGGUGAGUGCCUCUUCCGGGGCGAGCGGUGUGGUGCACGCAUUGCUGUGUUCUAACUCCCUCAGGGGCUGUGUUGUCGCACUGUCUGCUGCUAUGAGCUUCCUCAAAAGUUUCCCGCCGCCUGGGCCGGCGGAGGGGCUCCUGCGGCAACAACCAGACACCGAGGCUGUGCUGAACGGGAAGGGCCUCGGCACUGGUACCCUUUACAUCGCUGAGAGCCGCCUGUCUUGGUUAGAUGGUUCUGGAUUAGGAUUCUCACUGGAAUACCCCACCAUUAGUUUACAUGCAUUAUCCAGGGACCGAAGUGACUGUCUAGGAGAGCAUUUGUAUGUUAUGGUGAAUGCCAAAUUUGAAGAAGAAUCAAAAGAACCUGUUGCUGAUGAAGAAGAGGAAGACAGUGAUGAUGAUGUUGAACCUAUUACUGAAUUUAGAUUUGUGCCUAGUGAUAAAUCAGCAUUGGAGGCAAUGUUCACUGCAAUGUGUGAGUGCCAGGCCUUGCAUCCAGAUCCUGAGGAUGAGGAUUCAGAUGACUACGAUGGAGAAGAAUAUGAUGUGGAAGCGCAUGAACAAGGACAGGGGGACAUCCCUACAUUUUACACCUAUGAAGAAGGAUUAUCCCAUCUAACAGCAGAAGGCCAAGCCACAUUGGAGAGGUUAGAAGGAAUGCUCUCUCAGUCUGUGAGCAGCCAGUAUAAUAUGGCUGGGGUCAGGACAGAAGAUUCAAUAAGAGAUUAUGAAGAUGGGAUGGAGGUGGAUACCACACCAACAGUUGCUGGACAGUUUGAGGAUGCAGAUGUUGAUCACUGAAAAUGAUUUAUGCAGGUUUAAGAUUCUGCUCCUAACUGUAGGAGAGAACUUGGUGCCUCUUCCACUCUGGAGUGAUGCUGAUGGAAGUCUUUUUCCUUUUCCACAACCCAACCUGAACCAGUUCCUUCUUGAGACAGACUAUACUGAGACAAUAAGUUGUCACCAGCAGAAGAUAGAUAAUAUGACCUUUAUUAACUUGAUGAAUUAACUUAACCAAGAGGGUAUUUGUAGUUUAUUAUUUACCCCAAAACUUUCUGUGUCUGGGUACCCUCUGAGUAGGCCUAUAAUUCCUGCCUUGACUAUGUGCAUCUUUUGUAAGCUAGCAGAUUUUUGUGGUGAAAAUGCACAGGAGCUUGGUGUAGGUAGACUGGGUAGGAAAGAGAGAGCUCCUUUUGCCAUGUUUUAUGAGUCUGCUGUUAUAAACUCUUAGGUUAUAUCCUUUAAUUUCCAGCCUUUUAGGUUAGUUUCUGUAACAGAGCAAGUGAGUCUUGGAUGAAGUCCUCAAAGUACUUCAAAUGGCUGGAGUGCAGUGGCAUGAUCUUGGCUCACCACAACCUAAGCCUCCCGGAUUUAAGCAAUUCUUCUGCAUCAGCCUCCUGAGUAGCUGGGAUUACAGGCAUGUGCCACCACACCCCGCUGAUUUUGUAUUUUUAGUAGAGACAGGGUUUCUCCAUGUUGGUCAGACUGGUCUCGAACUCCCGACCUCAAGUGAUCCGCCUGCCUUGGCCUCCCAAAGUGCUGGGAUUACAGGCGUGAGCCAUCGUGCCCGGCCUAAGCAGAAAAUGUUUAUUAUAAAGCUAUCUGGUAGCUCACUAAAUGGACAGGAAAGUUGAAAUAAACCAGGCUUAUAAAAAGAUGAAAUCUACAGUAGAUGUUACGAUUCCUCCGCUGCUGUUAGACUGAUUUCUUGAUUGUCCCUGUGUCUAUGAGUCACCACACUUAAGAUACAAACUUCUGGUUGGCACUGUGUGUCUUCAUUGCCAAGGGCAGAAGGAGUAUCUGGGCCUUUCAGCUUCUGCAAUAGAAGGACACUGCUCCUAUGCAGAUGCUCACAGGAGUGGAUUAUGCCAGAUAAGAAGGAUGCUUAGAUGCUGGAUUACAAAAAAUGUACAGCUGUCUACUACAACCCCAAAUCUU